Molecule: long non-coding RNA, 2354 nt
Filed under: Citrus sinensis (sweet orange)
Lineage: Eukaryota; Viridiplantae; Streptophyta; Magnoliopsida; Sapindales; Rutaceae
Description: long non-coding RNA (CSIN_LNC003132)
Source: RNAcentral
UUCGUUUUGGUUCAAAUUUCAAUUUUCUGCAUUUUCAACUUGGUCGUCAAACUGGUCUGCCACAACAGCCAAAUGAUUUUGAUUGUGGAUACUAUACCUUGAAAUAUAUGGACAAUCCCUCUAUUGUUGCUGACCAGUCUUAUCAGGUAUAUGCUUUUUUUUUUUUCAAUCUUGAACAUUGAUGAUUCUGAUAUUUAGUUCAUGAUCAAUGCUUUCUUCAGACCAUUUAUCAGUCAUUAUGUUUAAUGAUUCUGUAUUUAGAUUAAUAACAAUGAUAACAGAGGAGUACUGCAAAGAAGUAAUAAAUAUUAAAGUUUUCUUUAUGAAGAGUACUUUUAAGGCAUAACUAGGAGUACUCGAUAAUUUUUUUUCCUUUUAAGGAUGUAUUAAGCAAGCUGUUUUUAGAAGAUAUCUAGUUUUGAAAGCAAUAAGACAUACUUUUUAGCAAGUAAACAAGCACCAAAAAUGUGAAUUGUUAAAAAUCUGCAUAUGUAAAAGGCCAAGUAUUUAUAUUUAAGAAGCAUUAUUAUAUGUUGCAAGUCAACUACUUUUGUGAAAAAAUAAGCUUGCUGCUAGUAAUUAGGUAGCAACCACUGGAGUCGUGAACUAUGUGGACUUUGUUAUUUUUAUAUAAAUUCAUCUUGUGAGCAUAUAGAAAUUGUUGUAAUUAGUGUUUCUUUUUUGUUAGCACGAUUCGGAUUAUGCUCGCAUCCUGUUGGCACUCUAUCUAGCACAAUCUCCACUUAAUGAUAUUAGGCAUAAACUCAUGCAAGAUGCUUCCAAUGGAUAUGGAAAGUGUAGUGCUGCUGACUCGCAAAGGGCCCCUUGUAAACAAACUUCAGAAUUAAGAAAAGCUGCCAGAAAUAUUAAUCUUAACCAGACACCGUCCGAGGCUUUAUUAAAAACAUUACUAUGAUCUCUAAAGGUAUGUUAAGUCGCUUGUCAUUCCCAUUUUUGAUCUUAUGUCCUAUGCUUAUCAAUUGUUAUUAAGUUGUUUUUUCUAUUUCUUUUAGUGAGUUAUGAUGUUUUGGGUAGACCAAUUAAACUUGUUAUUAAUCAUCUGCUUGUGUUUUGAACUAGGUGUCACUACACUUGGAAUGGCAACUUUUAUAUUUUGGUAUUCGAAGCCAUUUUGUUUUUGAAUUUUUUUGUAACAAAACCUUUUUGGUAUAGCAUAUACUAAUCAUUUUUUGGUUAGGUAGUCGAGUAACUGUUUAUUAGAACCUUUGUCAGUUCAUUCACCUAAAGAAGCAGAUGAGCCAUGUGUGGCCUUAGAAGAUGGUGUUGUAGAUGCAUUUCGUGCUCCUGGAUGCCCUCUUAUUUUUUUGUGUACGAGGGUAGUGUAUUUAGGUUGCAUAUUCUGACCAUUUGUUAUUAGGCACUAUCGGUCAGAGAUGGCUAAUUGUAGAAACUUGAUAUGUAUUUAGGGCUAUAUCUCUGUUAAUUCUUCUCUAUUAUAACUGUCUUAAAAUUCCAGUAAAAUUACUUAUUGAAUUUUUUGUAGCUUAAAUUUGGUUUUGUUUUGUUUCAGAUUUUGAUGAAUUAUGAUGUUGAAGGGUUUCGACUCUUUUGUAAUCUACUUUGCUUUGACUAAUGAUGUUCAAUCCUACAGAUAUUAUAUCUUUGUAGAUUCAAUUUUCCGUUGUUAAAUUUAAGUGAUCUUUUAUUUUUCCUUUGUGGCUUGCAUGCAUGCAUGAGUGUCGAAAAGGUCACUGGAGUGUUAUUUUUUGGUUGUUGGGCACUUGCAUUAAUUGUAUUUACUCUCCUACAACUGCAGAUUUAUGUGCCCAUACAUUAUGAAGCUCAUUGGUACAUGCUUGUUAUUGACAUUCUUCGUCAAACUGCUGAUAUUUGGGAUUCAUUGGAAUCUCUCAGUCAAAGAGAAAAAAUGAUUAAUCAGUCAUUGACAAUUGUAUGUUCUUAGGAGGAUUGACUACAUUUGUGCGUUAGUCGGAAUUUGAUUAAAUAACAUUCUAAAUUUUGUUAACACUUAUUCUGGUUGAUGUUGGCAGCUCGCCUCACUGGAUUUUUUGCUACUUAGAGAGGCUCGACUUCGUUUUGGUUCAAAUUUCAAUUUUCUGCAUUUUCAACUUGGUCGUCAAACUGGUUUGCCACAACAGCCAAAUGAUUUUGAUUGUGGAUACUACACCUUGAAAUAUAUGGACAAUCCCUCUAUUGUUGCUGACCAGUCUUAUCAGGUAUAUGCUUUUUUUUUUUUCAAUCUUGAACAUUGAUGAUUCUGAUAUUUAGUUCAUGAUCAAUGCUUUCUUCAGACCAUUUAUCAGUCAUUAUGUUUAAUGAUUCUGUAUUUAGAUUAAUAACAAUGAUAACAGAGGAGUACUGCAAAGAAGUAA